AUUGAACGCUGGCGGCAUGCUUUACACAUGCAAGUCGAACGGCAGCACAGGGAGCUUGCUCCCGGGUGGCGAGUGGCGCACGGGUGAGUAAUACAUCGGAGCGUGUCCUGUUGUGGGGGAUAACUGCUCGAAAGGGUGGCUAAUACCGCAUGAGACCUGAGGGUGAAAGCGGGGGAUCGCAAGACCUCGCGCAAUUGGAGCGGCCGAUGCCCGAUUAGCUAGUUGGUGAGGUAAAGGCUUCACCAAGGCGACGAUCGGUAGCUGGUCUGAGAGGACGACCAGCCACACUGGGACUGAGACACGGCCCAGACUCCUACGGGAGGCAGCAGUGGGAAUUUUGGACAAUGGGGGCAACCCUGAUCCAGCCAUGCCGCGUGCAGGAUGAAGGCCUUCGGGUUGUAAGGUACUUUCG
RNAcentral lists this ribosomal RNA (412 nucleotides) under uncultured bacterium. RNAcentral's name for it is "bacterial SSU rRNA". It matches the Rfam family "Bacterial small subunit ribosomal RNA", at positions 30 to 438 of the family's 1533-position model. The record is from RNAcentral.